UACAGAGGGUGCAAGCGUUGCUCGGAUUUACUGGGCGUAAAGCGUACGCAGACGGUAAGGCAGGUCGAAUGUGAAAGCCCCGGGCUCAACCCGGGAAAUGCAUCCGAAACCACCUUGCUCGAGUAUGAGAGAGGGAAGCGGAAUUCCUGGUGUAGAGGUGAAAUUCGUAGAUAUCCGGAGGAACACCGGUGGCGAAGGCGGCUUCCUGGACCGACACUGACGCUGAGGCGCGAAAGCUAGGGGAGCAAACGGG
This 253-nucleotide ribosomal RNA is filed under the name uncultured bacterium. RNAcentral's name for it is "partial 16S ribosomal RNA". It matches the Rfam family "Bacterial small subunit ribosomal RNA", at positions 524 to 776 of the family's 1533-position model. The record is from RNAcentral.